GUGCUCACUUUGGCAGCACAUAUAUUAAAAUUGGAACGAUAGAAAAAAUUAGCAUGGCCCCUGUGCAAGGAUGACACACAAAUUUGUGAAGCAUUCCGUAUUUUU
Otolemur garnettii (small-eared galago) is the source of this 105-nucleotide small nuclear RNA. NCBI's taxonomy places the organism in Eukaryota, Metazoa, Chordata, Mammalia, Primates, Galagidae. The record is from Ensembl.